Molecule: unclassified non-coding RNA, 286 nt
Organism: Cricetulus griseus (Chinese hamster)
Lineage: Eukaryota; Metazoa; Chordata; Mammalia; Rodentia; Cricetidae
Rfam family: Metazoan signal recognition particle RNA
About the family: The signal recognition particle (SRP) is a universally conserved ribonucleoprotein. It is involved in the co-translational targeting of proteins to membranes.
Source: Ensembl
GCCUUCCGGAAGCUUCUCAGUUUCAGGAGUCCCAGCUACUCAGGAGGCUGAGACAGGAGGAGCGCUUGAGUCCAGGAGAUCUGGGCUGUAGUGUGCUAUGCUGAUUGGGUGUCCACACUAAGUUCGGCAUCAAUAUGGUGACCUCCAGGGAGUGGGGGGCCACCAGGUUGCCUAAGGAUGGGUGAACCGGCCCAGGUCGGAAACGGAGCAGGUCAAAACUCCCGUGAUGUUCUAGUUUAUAUGUUAAAGUCUCUUGUUCAUAUAGAUUUAAGAUAAUCCCUUUUCC